Molecule: long non-coding RNA, 1324 nt
Filed under: Drosophila melanogaster (fruit fly)
Lineage: Eukaryota; Metazoa; Arthropoda; Insecta; Diptera; Drosophilidae
Description: flamenco (Dmel_CR46037)
Source: RNAcentral
AGUUGCUUUAUGACGCCGGGCGCGUGCGCAUUUAAAACAAUUCUCGAAAGAAAUGUUCACAAAUUAGUUUAAAUUCGAAAACGUUUCGGUAUGGACGCAAGAAAAAGGAAUUCUAAGAAAUAGAAAUUCUAAGCGAAACAACAACGAAAAAGGAAAAUAAUUUAAAUAGGGAUAAUAAUAUACAAAAACAUAACAACAAAAACACAACGGUAUUAAGGAAUCUGUUUCAGAAUUUCAGUGAGUUAAAUCUGUUAAAAAGUUCUGCGGUUAAUUUGUUUGUUUCUUUAACAAAAAACGUAAUCUAAUAUUUUAAUUAUUAUCAUCAGCUCAGCAGCAGUGUAGAAUAUAUUGGCCUAAAAUACUAGAUAUUUUAUGUUAAUAUAUUAAAUUCGAGUGACUUACGUCACCCAAGAUUUUGUACAUUUUCAAGCGAUAUUAGCUUGUCAUCAAGCGAUUAUUUCUGGAUACAAUUGUGAGCAUUGGACUGGGUGUUAAUUAUUUCUAUGCCGGUUUGCUCUCCUUUUUUGUCAGCGGUUUUGCAAUCUUUGCAAAAUCUGGAAUGAACUUACGAUUUCAGAUUACCAUUUGGCUAUGAGGAUCAGACAGUUUUAGUUAACUACUCCUAAAAAAAUAUCAGAGGACAAUUAUCUGAGGAAUGAAUCGCUUUGAAGUAGUACACUUUGAAACUACAUUUAUUCAUUUUGUGUAGCUUGUCUGUGGGCUAAAAUAUAUUUCGGCUAAAAAGUAGGCAAUACUACUUUUAUCAGUUGACCCAAGACUUUGGUAUUUCACCAUUUGUUUUUUUUUCUUUUUUUAAAUAAUUUAUUAAACGAAAUUAUUUAACGGACUAGCGUACUAUUGCCCUUUUUAGACAACCUAAUCUAAUCGGUAUCAAUUUAAACGAUUCUUAAUAUCUAAGUUUUUUACAAAGAUUAUAUGAAUUUGAGUAUUAAAGAAAUUGAAUGUUUAGGCAAUAAUAUUUAGAAGAUUAUUAUUAAGUAGUAUUUAUGACAAGUCCCGGGGGGUAUUUAUAUGGUUUUUUAAUAGAUAGGGUCUUCGUAUUUUGUAUGAAUAGAAUAUUUAAUAGUACUUGUGGAAGUAAAAUUUUCACCAUCUUUGUACUGAAUAUCACUGUAUUCAAGGAAAACGUGGGAAAGUUGUUUCCCUUUUUGCUGUAUUUAGAAGUUCUAAUCUGAAUACGUUAAAUUCUCUGAACUCGCCGUCUAAGGCGUAGUUAGAGGAUGUUACUAGAAGGAUGUCUUUUAAGUAAGGGGUAAUAAGAGGGUUUUCCUCAGAUUUAGAAGUCUUGGGACACUCAUAGGUA